ACUUGUCAAUCUCAACCAACUUUGUUCGCUUGUUCUUCUUUAAUCGGAAUUUUGGGUAAAUAACCCUUGUAUAACUAAAAGAUGAGCUAAGAAGAACUAGAAUUGGUAUAUUUUUCAAUAUUAAACUGUUGCUUUGAUUUUCUUAACCAGUUUUACCAAUUGAUCAUUCAGGGAAUACAGUAAUUUUACCACGUCUAAAUGCGAUGAUUGUCAGUUUAUUGAAAAUGAGGAUUCUUUGUGUUUGUAAUCCAGGUAUGUUAUCUUCGUCAUUCUGUAUAUUUUCAGAGAAAUCUGUCGUAUAUUCAUAAGCACGCUUCUUAGCCAAAUGUGUUUCAACUUUUUUAGAAGUUACUUUGGGUUUUCAGAAUUUUGGUCAAAUUUUUUCUUCUACUUUCCUUGUAACCAGCAUAGUAGGUGAGACGUCAUUGAUGGUGGUGCAAUUAAUAUCGUACGUUAUCAACUUCGACAAUAUCAUCUCGAAACCAAUCUAGAACAGUACUGUAUUUGAAAUCUUGAACAACAGGAUUAUUAAAUGUGAUCUUAGGAUCACCACAUGCAAAUCUAUGGUGCUACAAAGUGCAGUAGAAACCUUUGGAACAAAGUACAGUAGAAACUUUUGGAAUGCAUAUGAACUUAAAAUUUACAAACAUACGAUCUUCUCACCUCGAACAAACCGAUACAGGAGAACUUCAUGGCAAUCACACAGCAAUUGAAACUCGAGAAAUUUCCUCGUUCUGUGUCACUAGCGUUAUUUUCUUGACAAUUCUUUCACUCUGAACCUUGGAUUUUAUUUUAUAAACGAAGAAUUUUAAUUGUUUUCACCCAUUAAGCACAUGAAAUGAAACAAAUAAAGAAACCUACUUAUAAUUACCCUCUUUUAAAAGUCUAUGGUUGAGGAAUGAAAGGGGGGAGGGGAGGGAAGUAUCCGAAUUUAGGAUGGUGGAAUGGAGGAUGCUUGAGGAGUGGAGGGCAGGGUUUCUUGUAGAAUGGUGGGAGUGGUUUAUAAAUUGGAAUUGGUGGUGGAAGUGGCUUUACUAUUGGAGGGAUGUAAAUUGGUGGCUUUGGCUUGUAGAGUGGAACUGGUGGUGGAAGUGGCUUUACUAUUGGAGGGAUGUAAAUUGGCGGCUUUGGCUUGUAGAGUGGAACUGGUGGUGGAAGUGGCUUUACCACCGGAGGUUUGUAAAUUGGUGGCUUUGGCUUUGGUUUGUAGAUUGGAACUGGUGGUGGAAGUGGCUUUACCACCGGAGGUUUGUAAAUUGGUGGCUUUGGCUUUGGUUUGUAAAUUGUAACUGGUGGUGGAAGUGGCUUUACCAUCGGAGGUUUGUAACCUGCUGGCUUUGGCUUGUAGAUUGGAACAGUUGGCUUUGGUUUGUAGAUUGGAACAGGUGGUGGAAGUGGCUUUACCAUCGGAGGUUUGUAAACUGGUGGCUUUGGCUUUGGUUUGUAGAUUGGAACAGGUGGUGGAAGUGGCUUUACCACCGGAGGUUUGUAAAUUGGUGGCUUUGGCUUUGGUUUGUAGAUUGGAAUUGGAGGUGGAAGUGGCUUUACUGGAGGCUUCGGCUUGUAAAUGGGGACGGGAUGAGGAAGUGGCUUCGGCUUGUAAAUGGGGACAGGGUGAGGAUGUGGCUUUGGCUUGUAAAUAGGGACAGGAUGAGGAUGUGGCUUUGGCUUGUAAAUAGGGACAGGAUGAGGAUGUGGCUUUGGCAUGUAAAUGGGCACAGGUGGAGGAAGUGGUUUUGUGUAAACUGGUGGGAAUGGAGGAAGAGGCCAUGGGUGUCCGAAGUUUUUCAAUGGUGGAAAGUAAACCUUAGGGAAGUGUUUCUUCCAUGGAUGAAUUUUGGGAGAGGGUGGAUACUUAAAGAAUGGCCACAAGAAUGCAGAAGUGCACAAUGCAGUGGAGAAUUUGAGAUUUCUAUUAGGGCUGAAUGUGUGUUUUCCAUUGGUUAUCGACUUUAGGACAACCUUAGAGUCCUCGAGGCCAUUGUGAGCUGGACACGGUGCUGCCGAUGCGCUAUGAAGCUGUGCAUAACAUUCCUCUUUGAGUUUUCCUUCUUGAACAAUCUCCUCAGGAAGUGAAACCUUGAAUUUUCCUUCUUUAUCAAGCUCUCCAACUCCCACUCUUUUUAUUUCUCCAUUUUGAAGCUUGCAAUCAAUGGUUACGCUAAGCCCUGUAAAAAAUGAUUGCUUAUUGGUGAAGUGUAAAGAUGAAAAGCUACGUGGUUGUGUUAUACAGGAUUCCAAAGAGGAAUAGCAUUUGUGUAUGGUGGUCUGCAUAUAAACACUGUUUUAUCAAGAAUACACCAUGGCUUGUUGGUAAAUGGAUACGAUAGCACUGGACAAUAUUGUAUGAUACCAUCAAUUUUGUCAUCUGUAUCAAUAGAUAAUCAUACAACUAAAAGUACAUAAAAAGAUUGUAUAGUACCUGAAACAGCCUGACUCGUUUUAAUGUUAUUCUCUUUGCAGUCAGCACAUUCUCCCACCCCCACAACUUCUAUAGUCUUCUCAUCCCCACGGCAGAAGCUUGCUGCGAAUAACAAGUACACGAAGAAGCCCAGAAUGGCCC
RNAcentral lists this long non-coding RNA (2563 nucleotides) under Olea europaea (common olive). RNAcentral's name for it is "long non-coding RNA (OEUR_LNC009247)". Lineage: Eukaryota; Viridiplantae; Streptophyta; Magnoliopsida; Lamiales; Oleaceae. The record is from RNAcentral.